CCUCCUCAGUUGGCCGAGUCGUCCCGCGCGCACCGCCUCCGCGCGCCUAUGAGAAUGAGGUGGUAACGGGCCCCCGGAUGACCCCGCGUCACCACUGUGAGGCCUACAGCUCUGCCGGGGAGGAGGAGGAGGAGGAAGAGGAGGAGAAGGUAGCUACAGCAAGCUGGGUAGCAGGCAGAUCCAAAGGAUAUCAUGAAGUUUCCAGGGCCUUUGGAAAACCAGAGAUUGUCUUUCCUGUUGGAAAAGGCAAUCACUAGGGAAGCACAGAUGUGGAAAGUGAAUGUGCGGAAAAUGCCUUCAAAUCAGGCUCAUCCAAAAUACUUGAGUUGUAUUGCAAUCAGCUGUUUUUUCCUAGCUGCCAAGACUGUUGAGGAAGAUGAGAGAAUUCCAGUACUAAAGGUAUUGGCAAGAGACAGUUUCUGUGGAUGUUCCUCAUCUGAAAUUUUGAGAAUGGAGAGAAUUAUUCUGGAUAAGUUGAAUUGGGAUCUUCACACAGCCACACCAUUGGAUUUUCUUCAUAUUUUCCAUGCCAUUGCAGUGUCAACUAGGCCUCAGUUACUUUUCAGUUUGCCCAAAUUGAGCCCAUCUCAACAUUUGGCAGUCCUUACCAAGCAACUACUUCACUGUAUGGCCUGCAACCAACUUCUGCAAUUCAGAGGAUCCAUGCUU
This 669-nucleotide long non-coding RNA is filed under the name Homo sapiens (human). Its description in RNAcentral is "HSALNT0073973". The record is from RNAcentral. Lineage: Eukaryota; Metazoa; Chordata; Mammalia; Primates; Hominidae.